UACGUAGGGGGCAAGCGCUGUCCGGAAUCAUUGGGCGUAAAGAGCGUGUAGGCGGCCCGGUAAGUCCGCUGUGAAAGUCCAGGGCUCAACCCUGGGAUGCCGGUGGAUACUGUCGGGCUCGAGUCCGGAAGAGGAGUGUGGAAUUCCUGGUGUAGCGGUGAAAUGCGCAGAUAUCAGGGGGAACACCAAUGGCGAAGGCAGCACUCUGGGACGUGACUGACGCUGAGACGCGAAAGCGUGGGGAGCAAACAGG
Molecule: ribosomal RNA, 253 nt
Filed under: uncultured bacterium
Lineage: Bacteria
Description: partial 16S ribosomal RNA
Rfam family: Bacterial small subunit ribosomal RNA
Source: RNAcentral